This is a long non-coding RNA of Falco peregrinus (peregrine falcon), 599 nucleotides long. RefSeq lists it as uncharacterized. The record is from RefSeq and is a predicted model, not a curated record. NCBI's taxonomy places the organism in Eukaryota, Metazoa, Chordata, Aves, Falconiformes, Falconidae. The transcript has 3 exons.
GACCUCGGCACAGAAGCAGCCAGUGAAGCUGCCCACAAAGCUAAUGGGGGAGGCGUGCACGUAGGGUGACUGCAGAGAUGCGUGGAGCUGUCGUGUGCCAGAGGCUGCAGCACUCGGUUUGCAGGAGGUGGUGGAGCUGGUUCAGUUCACGAACAGCUCUGGGUAGUGCCCAGUAACAAGUUUGAGUCUCCUAACAUCUCAGUGACAAAAACCUGGCAAUGCCCAAAAAAAAUCCCAAGGAGAUGAGCUUGGAGUCAUCACAAUGCACAGAUGUCAUCCUUACAGAUUGGGAAGGAAUGAUCCAGUCACUGGGAUAUCCUAUAAGAGAGACAAAUGCCACCAGGCUGGGAUACUGCUGGUGACCUGGAUGGACAGUUUCCUCUGUGAAUAGCACUGCCCUGUCACCAUUAAGCACAUUAGUACUUUGAUGCCUCAUAUCAAAGAAACUUGGAGCUGGAGAGACGAAUUCAGGCUGACUAUCACAGAAGCAAGCCAUGCAUCUAAUCUCCUUCCCCCACUCGCUUUUUUCCUGUCUUACCUGUGCUCCUCACUGCUGUGUGAAUGAGCACAUCUGAUUGUCUAUCUAUCAGGCAAGUGUG